AGCCUGAUAUCUUGCUCGACCUUAUGUAUGGCGGUGAGCAAAUCAUCAGGUGCGU
RNAcentral lists this microRNA precursor (55 nucleotides) under Triops cancriformis. Its description in RNAcentral is "microRNA tcf-mir-87b precursor". Its record names the gene tcf-mir-87b. Lineage: Eukaryota; Metazoa; Arthropoda; Branchiopoda; Notostraca; Triopsidae. The record is from miRBase by way of RNAcentral.